Molecule: ribosomal RNA, 425 nt
Filed under: uncultured bacterium
Lineage: Bacteria
Description: bacterial SSU rRNA
Rfam family: Bacterial small subunit ribosomal RNA
Source: RNAcentral
AGGGAAUCUUCCACAAUGGACGAAAGUCUGAUGGAGCAACGCCGCGUGAGCGAUGAAGGCCUUCGGGUCGUAAAGCUCUGUUGUUAGGGAAGAACAAGUGCGAGAGUAACUGCUCGCACCUUGACGGUACCUAACCAGAAAGCCACGGCUAACUACGUGCCAGCAGCCGCGGUAAUACGUAGGUGGCAAGCGUUGUCCGGAAUUAUUGGGCGUAAAGCGCGCGCAGGCGGUUUCUUAAGUCUGAUGUGAAAGCCCACGGCUCAACCGUGGAGGGUCAUUGGAAACUGGGAGACUUGAGUGCAGAAGAGGAGAGUGGAAUUCCACGUGUAGCGGUGAAAUGCGUAGAGAUGUGGAGGAACACCAGUGGCGAAGGCGACUCUCUGGUCUGUAACUGACGCUGAGGCGCGAAAGCGUGGGGAGCAAAC